Molecule: ribosomal RNA, 796 nt
Filed under: uncultured bacterium
Lineage: Bacteria
Description: bacterial SSU rRNA
Rfam family: Bacterial small subunit ribosomal RNA
Source: RNAcentral
AGAGUUUGAUCCUGGCUGAGGAUGAACGCUGGCGGCGUGCUUAACACAUGCCAGUCGAGCGAUGAUGGGAGCUUGCUCCUGGAUUAGUGGCGAACGGGUGAGUAACACGUGAGUAACCUGCCCUUAACUCUGGGAUAAGCCUGGGAAACUGGGUCUAAUACCGGAUAUGACUCCUCAUCGCAUGGUGGGGGGUGGAAAGCUUUUUUGUGGUUUUGGAUGGACUCGCGGCCUAUCAGCUUGUUGGUGAGGUAAUGGCUUACCAAGGCGACGACGGGUAGCCGGCCUGAGAGGGUGACCGGCCACACUGGAACUGAGACACGGUCCAGACUCCUACGGGAGGCAGCAGUGGGGAAUUUUGCGCAAUGGGCGAAAGCCUGACGCAGCAACGCCGCGUGAGUGAUGAAGGCUUUCGGGUCGUAAAGCUCUGUCAAUGGGAAAGAAGUGUAUUUUGGCUAAUAUCCUUAAUACUUGACGGUACCCAUAAAGGAAGCACCGGCUAACUCCGUGCCAGCAGCCGCGGUAAUACGGGGGGUGCAAGCGUUGUUCGGAAUUAUUGGGCGUAAAGCGCGUGUAGGCGGUCUGAUUAGUCUGAUGUGAAAGCCCUGGGCUCAACCCAGGAAGUGCAUUGGAUACUGUCAGACUUGAAUACGGGAGAGGGUAGUGGAAUUCCUAGUGUAGGAGUGAAAUCCGUAGAUAUUAGGAGGAACACCGGUGGCGAAGGCGGCUACCUGGACCGAUAUUGACGCUGAGACGCGAAAGCGUGGGUAGCAAACAGGAUUAGAUACCCUGGUAGUCC